This 320-nucleotide unclassified non-coding RNA is filed under the name Hevea brasiliensis (rubber tree). Lineage: Eukaryota; Viridiplantae; Streptophyta; Magnoliopsida; Malpighiales; Euphorbiaceae. The record is from RNAcentral.
AGUUGUUUACAAAGGCGUAAUUGAAGAUGGAAUUCAGAUUGCAGUGAAGAGAAUGGAAUCUGCGAUUAUCAAUAGCAAGGCAUUGGAUGAAUUUCAAGCAGAAAUAGCUGUGCUUUCUAAGGUUCGGCAUCGCCAUUUAGUUUCACUUUUGGGUUAUUCUGUUGAAGGAAAUGAGAGGCUUUUGGUAUAUGAAUAUAUGUCAAAGGGCGCUUUGAGUAGACAUCUUUUCCGCUGGAAGAUCCUGAAGUUGGAGCCUUUAUCAUGGACAAAGAGACUCAAUAUUGCUCUAGAUGUCGCUCGAGGGAUGGAGUACCUUCAUA